UACGAAGGGGGCUAGCGUUGCUCGGAAUCACUGGGCGUAAAGCGCACGUAGGCGGAUUGCUAAGUCAGGGGUGAAAUCCUGGAGCUCAACUCCAGAACUGCCUUUGAUACUGGCGGUCUCGAGUCCGGGAGAGGUGAGUGGAACUGCGAGUGUAGAGGUGAAAUUCGUAGAUAUUCGCAAGAACACCAGUGGCGAAGGCGGCUCACUGGCCCGGUACUGACGCUGAGGUGCGCAAGCGUGGGGAGCGAACAGG
Molecule: ribosomal RNA, 253 nt
Filed under: uncultured bacterium
Lineage: Bacteria
Description: partial 16S ribosomal RNA
Rfam family: Bacterial small subunit ribosomal RNA
Source: RNAcentral